UACCUGCCACGCUUUAGCAGCACGUAAAUAUUGGCGUGUGAGAAUAAACCCCAACCCCAAUAUUAGCAGUGCUGCUUCAGUGUGGCUGGAUCA
RNAcentral lists this microRNA precursor (93 nucleotides) under Seriola lalandi dorsalis. RNAcentral describes it as "Danio rerio miR-16a stem-loop (ENSSLDG00000006391.1)". The stretch from base 6 to 86 matches the Rfam family "mir-16 microRNA precursor family". Rfam says of the family: The hairpin precursors (represented here) are predicted based on base pairing and cross-species conservation -- their extents are not known. In this case the mature sequence is excised from the 5' arm of the hairpin. Lineage: Eukaryota; Metazoa; Chordata; Actinopteri; Carangiformes; Carangidae. The record is from RNAcentral.